GGGAGCGAACCGGAUUAGAUACCCGGGUAGUCCUGGCCGUAAACGAUGCAUACUAGGCAAUGGUGCGGCCAUGAGCCGCAUCAGGUACCGUAGGGAAACCGUUAAGUGUGCCGCCUGGGAAGUACGGUCGCAAGGCUGAAACUGAAAGGAAUUGGCGGGGGAGCACCACAAGGGGUGAAGCCUGCGGUUCAAUUGGACUCAACGCCGGGAAACUUACCAGGGGAGACAGCAGAAUGACAGUCAGGUUGACGACCUUACUCGACGAGCUGAGAGGAGGUGCAUGGCCGUCGCCAGUUCGUGCUGUGAGGUAUCCUGUUAAGUCAGGCAACGAACGAGAUCCGCGCCUUUAUUUGCCAUCAAGAAGUCACGACUUUGUUGGGAACACUAAAGGGACCGCCGUCGAUAAGACGGAGGAAGGAGCGGGCAAAGGCAGGUCAGUAUGCCCCGAAACCCCUGGGCUACACGCGGGCUGCAAUGGUGCGAACAAUGGGCUGUAACUCCGAAAGGAGAAACCAAUCCCGAAAUCGCAUCUCAGUGGGGAUUGUCGACUGUAACUCGUUGACAUGAACGUGGAAUCCCUAGUAAUCGCG
RNAcentral lists this ribosomal RNA (590 nucleotides) under uncultured crenarchaeote. RNAcentral's name for it is "bacterial SSU rRNA". It matches the Rfam family "Archaeal small subunit ribosomal RNA", at positions 715 to 1302 of the family's 1478-position model. The record is from RNAcentral. Lineage: Archaea; Thermoproteati; Thermoproteota.